GCAAAUAUAGCUUGUGCAAUCAUCACCCCUCUAUUCUUAUCAUGACCAGUAUACAAGAUCCAUGAUGAAUUACAGAGUUCAAUCCUGAUUAAUGGUGCUAAGUAAGAUUCGAGUUUGAACCCUAGAAUGCGUAUUCUUUAAUUCUACAUAAUGUUGUCAUGGAAGAAGGUACAGUGAUCAGCUUUUUUACUUCUUUGUAGUUAGCUGUGAGGUGUAAGGUUGCCCUAAUGAACCAGGAGAUGGAAAGGGACUUUAACCUCUACUACUCUUGAGUAAACCUUAUAGCUCCUUCUGACUAAAGUAGUAGUAGAAAGGGUUAUAAUUUGAAAAGUUUGAAUCCCAAAAGCAAAAAAAUUUCUACCAAUAAAUUAUAUUCACGCUUCAUCUGCAGUUGACUUAAUUGCACUUGCAUUAUCAUGAAAUUAGAGGAAAUGAGGUUAUGUUUUGCCCUGGAUGAGAUGUUGUGGAUCUCUGUGACAAUUAAUAUAGUAUGGAUGGGCAGCAUGCAUUGAGUAAAGUAAACAUGAUUUACUCCGCCUCUUGGAAAACGUGAUGUCAAGUAGUUAGGCCUUUUUUUGUGGAGGCCAAUUGUGAAUUUGUCCGUCUCGGCACCAUCUUAGGCUAGGGCCGUGGUAGUGCUUGGAGGGGGGCCUCCCCAGGAUUCGAUUCCUGGUCCCUGGUACCAGGAGCCAUCCCCAAGACCCCUUAUCCAAGGGACCAGGGAUCGAAUCCUGGGGAGGCCCCCCUCCAAGCACUACACGGCCCUAGCCUAAGACGGUGCCGAGGCGGAUAAAUUCACAAUUGGCCUCCACAAAAAAAGGCCCCAAGACCCCUUAUCCAAGGGACCAGGGAUCGAAUCCUGGGGAGGC
Molecule: long non-coding RNA, 869 nt
Filed under: Coffea arabica (coffee)
Lineage: Eukaryota; Viridiplantae; Streptophyta; Magnoliopsida; Gentianales; Rubiaceae
Description: long non-coding RNA (CARA_LNC005510)
Source: RNAcentral